AGUGGGGGAUAACGUAGCGAAAGUUACGCUAAUACCGCAUAUGCCCUGAGGGGGAAAGGUGGGGAUCGUAAGACCUAUCGCUUUCGGAGUGGCCGAUAUCAGAUUAGCUAGUUGGUGAGGUAAAGGCUCACCAAGGCGACGAUCUGUAGCUGGUCUGAGAGGACGACCAGCCACACUGGGACUGAGACACGGCCCAGACUCCUACGGGAGGCAGCAGUGGGGAAUUUUGGACAAUGGGGGCAACCCUGAUCCAGCCAUGCCGCGUGAGUGAAGAAGGCCUUCGGGUUGUAAAGCUCUUUCAGCCGGAAAGAAAUCGCAUUAGCUAAUAUCUAGUGUGGAUGACGGUACCGGAAGAAGAAGCACCGGCUAACUACGUGCCAGCAGCCGCGGUAAUACGUAGGGUGCGAGCGUUAAUCGGAAUUACUGGGCGUAAAGCGUGCGCAGGCGGUUUUGUAAGACAGGUGUGAAAUCCCCGGGCUUAACCUGGGAACUGCAUUUGUGACUGCAAGGCUAGAGUAUGGCAGAGGGGGGUAGAAUUCCA
This 541-nucleotide ribosomal RNA is filed under the name uncultured Gallionellaceae bacterium. Its description in RNAcentral is "bacterial SSU rRNA". It matches the Rfam family "Bacterial small subunit ribosomal RNA", at positions 135 to 671 of the family's 1533-position model. Lineage: Bacteria; Pseudomonadati; Pseudomonadota; Betaproteobacteria; Nitrosomonadales; Gallionellaceae. The record is from RNAcentral.